CGGCGACUACUGCUAUCAGGUUCCGACUAAGCCAUGCGAGUCAAAGGGUCGCAAGACACUGGCGUACUGCUCAGUAACACGCGGACAAUCUAACCCCAGGUGGGGUAUAACCUCGGGAAACUGAGGGUAAUUCCCCAUAGUUAUCAUAUGCUGGAAUGCUUUGAUGAUGAAAGUUCCGACGCCUGAGGAUGAGUCUGCGGCCUAUCAGGUAGUAUGUGGCGUAAAGGACCACAUAGCCUUUGACGGGUACGGGCCCUGAGAGGGGGAGCCCGGAGAUGGACUCUGAGACAUUAGUCCAGGCCCUACGGGGCGCAGCAGGCGCGAAAACUGUGCAAUGCGCGAAAGCGCGACACGGGAAGCCUGAGUGCCUUAACACAGUUAAGGCUUUUCUCAUGCCUAAAAAGCUUGAGGAAUAAGAGCUGGGCAAGACGGGUGCCAGCCGCCGCGGUAACACCCGCAGCUCGAGUGGUGGUCACUUUUAUUGAGCCUAAAGCGUCCGUAGCCGGUCUUGUAAAUCUCUGGGUAAAUCCUGCCGCUUAACGGUGGGAAUGCUGGAGAGACUGCAAGACUGGGGAUCGGGUGAAGCGAGAGGUACUCCUGGGGUAGGGGUAAAAUCCUGUAAUCCUGGGGGGACGACCGGUGGCGAAAGCGUCUCGCUAGAACGACUCCGACGGUGAGGGACGAAGGCUAGGGGAG
Molecule: ribosomal RNA, 696 nt
Filed under: uncultured archaeon
Lineage: Archaea
Description: bacterial SSU rRNA
Rfam family: Archaeal small subunit ribosomal RNA
Source: RNAcentral